UACGUAGGUGGCAAGCGUUGUCCGGAUUUAUUGGGUUUAAAGGGUGCGUAGGCGGCCCUGUAAGUCAGUGCUGAAAUACUCCAGCUUAACUGGAGGGGGUGCCAAUGAUACUGCAGAACUUGAGUACAGAUGAGGUAGGCGGAAUUGACGGUGUAGCGGUGAAAAUGCAUAGAUAUCGUCAAGAAACACCCGAUACGAAAGGCAGCUUUCUGGGGCUGUAAACUGACGCUGAG
Molecule: ribosomal RNA, 233 nt
Filed under: uncultured bacterium
Lineage: Bacteria
Description: partial 16S ribosomal RNA
Rfam family: Bacterial small subunit ribosomal RNA
Source: RNAcentral